This 491-nucleotide ribosomal RNA is filed under the name uncultured bacterium. RNAcentral's name for it is "partial 16S ribosomal RNA". It matches the Rfam family "Bacterial small subunit ribosomal RNA", at positions 29 to 506 of the family's 1533-position model. The record is from RNAcentral.
AGUGAACGCUGGCGGUAGGCCUAACACAUGCAAGUCGAACGGCAGCACAGUAAGAGCUUGCUCUUACGGGUGGCGAGUGGCGGACGGGUGAGGAAUACAUCGGAAUCUACUUUUUCGUGGGGGAUAACGUAGGGAAACUUACGCUAAUACCGCAUACGACCUACGGGUGAAAGCAGGGGAUCUUCGGACCUUGCGCGAUUGAAUGAGCCGAUGUCGGAUUAGCUAGUUGGCGGGGUAAAGGCCCACCAAGGCGACGAUCCGUAGCUUGUCUGAGAGGAUGAUCAGCCACACUGGAACUGAGACACGGUCCAGACUCCUACGGGAGGCAGCAGUGGGGAAUAUUGGACAAUGGGCGCAAGCCUGAUCCAGCCAUACCGCGUGGGUGAAGAAGGCCUUCGGGUUGUAAAGCCCUUUUGUUGGGAAAGAAAAGCAGCAGGUUAAUACCCCGCUGUUCUGACGGAACCCAAAGAAUAAGCACCGGCUAACUUCGU